UUCCAGACUCCUACGGGAGGCAGCAGUGGGGAAUAUUGCACAAUGGGGGAAACCCUGAUGCAGCAACGCCGCGUGAGUGAAGAAGUAUUUCGGUAUGUAAAGCUCUAUCAGCAGGGAAGAAAAUGACGGUACCUGAGUAAGAAGCCCCGGCUAACUACGUGCCAGCAGCCGCGGUAAUACGUAGGGGGCAAGCGUUAUCCGGAUUUACUGGGUGUAAAGGGAGCGUAGACGGCGAUGCAAGUCUGAAGUGAAAGCCCGGGGCUCAACCCCGGGACUGCUCUUGGAACUGCGUGGCUGGAGUGCAGGAGGGGCAGGCGGAAUUCCUGGUGUAGCGGUGAAAUGCGUAGAUAUCAGGAGGAACACCGGUGGCGAAGGCGGCCUGCUGGACUGCAACUGACGUUGAGGCCCGAAAGCGUGGGGAGCAAACAGGAUUAGAUACCCGAGUA
Molecule: ribosomal RNA, 446 nt
Filed under: uncultured bacterium
Lineage: Bacteria
Description: bacterial SSU rRNA
Rfam family: Bacterial small subunit ribosomal RNA
Source: RNAcentral